CAGUCGAACGGAGUUACGAUGAAACCUAGUGAUUCGUAACUUAGUGGCGGACGGGUGAGUAACGCGUGGAUAACCUGCCUUGCACUGGGGGAUAACACUUAGAAAUAGGUGCUAAUACCGCAUAAGCGCACGGAGCCGCAUGGCUCAGUGUGAAAAACUCCGGUGGUGUAAGAUGGAUCCGCGUCUGAUUAGCUGGUUGGCGGGGUAGAAGCCCACCAAGGCGACGAUCAGUAGCCGGCCUGAGAGGGUGAACGGCCACAUUGGGACUGAGACACGGCCCAAACUCCUACGGGAGGCAGCAGUGGGGAAUAUUGCACAAUGGGGGAAACCCUGAUGCAGCAACGCCGCGUGAGUGAAGAAGUCAUUCGUGAUGUAAAGCUCUAUCAGCAGGGAAGAAAAUGACGGUACCUGAGUAAGAAGCCCCGGCUAACUACGUGCCAGCAGCCGCGGUAAUACGUAGGGGGCAAGCGUUAUCCGGAUUUACUGGGUGUAAAGGGAGCGUAGACGGCCAGACAAGUCUGAAGUGAAAAUCCAGCGCUUAACGUUGGAAGUGCUUUGGAAACUGCCGGGCUGGAGUGCAGGAGGGGCAGGCGGAAUUCCUAGUGUAGCGGUGAAAUGCGUAGAUAUUAGGAGGAACACCAGUGGCGAAGGCGGCCUGCUGGACUGCAACUGACGUUGAGGCUCGAAGGCGUGNGGAGCAAACAGGAUUAGAUACCCUNGUAGUCCACGCGGUAAACGAUGAUUACUAGGUGUCGGGGGGCUAGAGCCCUUCGGUGCCGUCGCAAACGCAAUAAGUAAU
Molecule: ribosomal RNA, 799 nt
Filed under: uncultured bacterium
Lineage: Bacteria
Description: bacterial SSU rRNA
Rfam family: Bacterial small subunit ribosomal RNA
Source: RNAcentral